UUCCGGUUGAUCCUGCCGGACCUGACUGCUAUCGGAUUGAUACUAAGCCAUGCGAGUCGUUGUAGCAAUACAAGGCAUACGGCUCAGUAACGCGUAGUCAACCUAACCUAUGGACGGGAAUAACCUCGGGAAACUGAGAAUAAUGCCCGAUAGAACACUAUACCUGGAAUGGUUUGUGUUCCAAAUGAUUUAUCGCCAUAGGAUGGGACUGCGGCCUAUCAGUUUGUUGGUGAGGUAAUGGCCCACCAUGACUAUUACAGGUACGGGCUCUGAGAGGAGUAGCCCGGAGAUGGGUACUGAGACACGGACCCAGGCCCUAUGGGGCGCAGCAGGCGAGAAAACUUUGCAAUGUGCGAAAGCACGACAAGGUUAAUCCGAGUGAUUUGUGCUAAACGAAUCUUUUGUUAGUCCUAGAAACACUAACGAAUAAGGGGUGGGCAUGUUCUGGUGUCAGCCGCCGCGGUAAAACCAGCACCUCAAGUGGUCAGGAUGAUUAUUGGGCCUAAAGCAUCCGUAGCCGGCUCUGUAAGUUUUCGGUUAAAUCUGUACGCUUAACGUACAGGCUGCCGGGAAUACCGCAGAGCUAGGGAGUGGGAGAGGUAGACGGUACUCGGUAGGAAGUGGUAAAAUGCUUUGAUCUAUCGAUGACCACCUGUGGCGAAGGCGGUCUACCAGAACACGUCCGACGGUGAGGGAUGAAAGCUGGGGGAGCAAACCGGAUUAGAUACCCGGGUAGUCCCAGCUGUAAACUAUGCAAACUCAGUGAUGCAUUGGCUUGUGGCCAAUGCAGUGCUGCAGGGAAGCCGUUAAGUUUGCCGCCUGGGAAGUACGUACGCAAGUAUGAAACUUAAAGGAAUUGGCGGGGGAGCACCACAAGGGGUGAAGCCUGCGGUUCAAUUGGAUUCAACGCCGGG
RNAcentral lists this ribosomal RNA (914 nucleotides) under uncultured crenarchaeote. RNAcentral's name for it is "bacterial SSU rRNA". It matches the Rfam family "Archaeal small subunit ribosomal RNA", at positions 1 to 922 of the family's 1478-position model. The record is from RNAcentral. Lineage: Archaea; Thermoproteati; Thermoproteota.